CCAAACGCUGAAGAUGUGGCACAACCAGAACUUAGGCCCUCUGUCGCUGGUAGGAAUAGUAAAACAGCACCAUCACUUUGGAAAAGUGCCCCCAAAAGAAACAUCCUCUUACUGUGACUAUCCAACAGUUCCAUUUCUUGAUAAUUAACUUGUGAGUUAAAACUUAGAUCCACAGGAAAAUCUGCACACAGAUGUUUAUAGAAGCCGUAUUGCAAUUGUUCAAACUCAGGCCUGAUGGCAUAUACCUUUAAUCCUAGCACUCAGGAGAUGAGAUGGAGAAAGAAUUACAAUUUUGAGGCCAACCUGGGAUACGUAGCAAGCGCUAAAUCACCACAGGUACCAUGCAGGAGCAACGACACAAAAGUAAACACACUUUGAAGCCAUGAAAAAAUUCUUCACUAGGUCCCACUCUCAGAGAUGAGUACUGAAUGCUGUCCGGGGAAAGAGGACCCUUCCAGCUGCUUCCUGCUGAGAGGGGACUAGCAAUCCAAGAGAGAAGGGAUUCUAAUGAAGUGGGCUCCUGAGACCCACCCAGGCGAGCAUGUAGACGGUGACUUAGAGAGACCUGUGUAGAGAAGAAGAAUCUGUGGCGUGCUCAGCUCUACAUGGGAAUGCAUAUCACACCCCUUCCCUCGAGGCUCAGGGAUCAGCAUGGAAGAGAGGGGAGAAAGACUGCAAGAACAAGAGGAGUGGUUGGCAGCAGCAAAACAGGAUUUGCCAGGAACAGCAGUGAUCGAACAUAUAGACCGAAAGCUGCUGCGACUACAUGCUAAAGACCUAAGCAAGAUCAAAUUAGCAAAAAUCUCAGCACGGAAGGAGAAGGGCUCAUGAAGCCCCAGCCCUAGCUGAGAAGCUAUUAGCAAUUGCCGGCUGAUGUCAGAAUGAGAAUCAUCGUUUUGGUUGUUUGUUUUUCCAAGACUGUGUCUUAAAGCUGCUCCCCAUGCUCCAGCAGAUGCUCCCACACCUAUGCCCAUACAAGCUAUACUGAGUGGACAAAGUGGAUUCCAAAACAUAGUGUAUGAAGUUGGGAAGGGAAGGUGGUGGAGAAAUAGGAGAGUGAUUGGAGGGGGGAAAUUAGGGAUGAAUUUGAUUGAUCCAAGCACACUAAAUGUAGGCUUAUGAACUCCUUAAAUACCAAAAACAAUGAGACAGGUAUGGUUGUGCACACCUUUAAUGUCAGCACUUAGGAACCAGAGG
Molecule: long non-coding RNA, 1197 nt
Organism: Microtus ochrogaster (prairie vole)
Lineage: Eukaryota; Metazoa; Chordata; Mammalia; Rodentia; Cricetidae
Gene: Kantr
Exons: 3
Source: RefSeq, a predicted model, not a curated record